AGAAUCAACGCUGGCGGCGUGCCUAACACAUGCAAGUCGAACGAGAAAGUGGAGCAAUCCAUGAGUACAGUGGCGACCGGGUGAGUAACACGUGACUACUACCCUUGAGUGGGGGAUAACCUCGGGAAACCGAGGCUAAUACCGCAUAAUAUCGAGAGAUCAAAGGAGCAAUUCGCUUUUGGAGGGGGUCGCGGCUGAUUAGCUAGUUGGCGGGUAAUGGCCCACAAGGCAAGAUCGGUA
RNAcentral lists this ribosomal RNA (240 nucleotides) under uncultured bacterium. Its description in RNAcentral is "partial small subunit ribosomal RNA". It matches the Rfam family "Bacterial small subunit ribosomal RNA", at positions 26 to 285 of the family's 1533-position model. The record is from RNAcentral.